AGAGUUUGAUCCUGGCUCAGGAUGAACGCUAGCUACAGGCUUAACACAUGCAAGUCGAGGGGCAGCAUGGUCUUAGCUUGCUAAGGCCGAUGGCGACCGGCGCACGGGUGAGUAACACGUAUCCAACCUGCCGUCUACUCUUGGACAGCCUUCUGAAAGGAAGAUUAAUACAAGAUGGCAUCAUGAGUCCACAUGUUCACAUGAUUAAAGGUAUUCCGGUAGACGAUGGGGAUGCGUUCCAUUAGAUAGUAGGCGGGGUAACGGCCCACCUAGUCUUCGAUGGAUAGGGGUCCUGAGAGGAAGGUCCCCCACAUUGGAACUGAGACACGGUCCAAACUCCUACGGGAGGCAGCAGUGAGGAAUAUUGGUCAAUGGGCGAGAGCCUGAACCAGCCAAGUAGCGUGAAGGAUGACUGCCCUAUGGGUUGUAAACUUCUUUUAUAAAGGAAUAAAGUCGGGUAUGCAUACCCGUUUGCAUGUACUUUAUGAAUAAGGAUCGGCUAACUCCGUGCCAGCAGCCGCGGUAAUACGGAGGAUCCGAGCGUUAUCCGGAUUUAUUGGGUUUAAAGGAGCGUAGAUGGAUGUUUAAGUCAGUUGUGAAAGUUUGCGGCUCAACCGUAAAAUUGCAGUUGAUACUGGAUAUCUUGAGUGCAGUUGAGGCAGGCGGAAUUCGUGGUGUAGCGGUGAAAUGCUUAGAUAUCACGAAGAACUCCGAUUGCGAAGGCAGCCUGCUAAGCUGCAACUGACAUUGAGGCUCGAAAGUGUGGGUAUCAAACAGGAUUAGAUACCCUGGUAGUCCACACGGUAAACGAUGAAUACUCGCUGUUUGCGAUAUACUGCAAGCGGCCAAGCGAAAGCGUUAAGUAUUCCACCUGGGGAGUACGCCGGCAACGGUGAAACUCAAAGGAAUUGACGGGGGCCCGCACAAGCGGAGGAACAUGUGGUUUAAUUCGAUGAUACGCGAGGAACCUUACCCGGGCUUAAAUUGCAGAUGAAUUACGGUGAAAGCCGUAAGCCGCAAGGCAUCUGUGAAGGUGCUGCAUGGUUGUCGUCAGCUCGUGCCGUGAGGUGUCGGCUUAAGUGCCAUAACGAGCGCAACCCUUGUUGUCAGUUACUAACAGGUUCCGCUGAGGACUCUGACAAGACUGCCAUCGUAAGAUGUGAGGAAGGUGGGGAUGACGUCAAAUCAGCACGGCCCUUACGUCCGGGGCUACACACGUGUUACAAUGGGGGGUACAGAGGGCCGCUACCACGCGAGUGGAUGCCAAUCCCAAAAACCUCUCUCAGUUCGGACUGGAGUCUGCAACCCGACUCCACGAAGCUGGAUUCGCUAGUAAUCGCGCAUCAGCCACGGCGCGGUGAAUACGUUCCCGGGCCUUGCACACACCGCCCGUCA
RNAcentral lists this ribosomal RNA (1395 nucleotides) under uncultured bacterium. RNAcentral's name for it is "16S ribosomal RNA". It matches the Rfam family "Bacterial small subunit ribosomal RNA". The record is from RNAcentral.